Molecule: ribosomal RNA, 497 nt
Filed under: uncultured bacterium
Lineage: Bacteria
Description: partial 16S ribosomal RNA
Rfam family: Bacterial small subunit ribosomal RNA
Source: RNAcentral
GAUGAACGCUGGCGGCGUGCCUAAUACAUGCAAGUCGAGCGAACGGACGAGAAGCUUGCUUCUCUGAUGUUAGCGGCGGACGGGUGAGUAACACGUGGAUAACCUACCUAUAAGACUGGGAUAACUUCGGGAAACCGGAGCUAAUACCGGAUAAUAUUUUGAACCGCAUGGUUCAAAAGUGAAAGACGGUCUUGCUGUCACUUAUAGAUGGAUCCGCGCUGCAUUAGCUAGUUGGUAAGGUAACGGCUUACCAAGGCAACGAUGCAUAGCCGACCUGAGAGGGUGAUCGGCCACACUGGAACUGAGACACGGUCCAGACUCCUGCGGGAGGCAGCAGUAGGGAAUCUUCCGCAAUGGGCGAAAGCCUGACGGAGCAACGCCGCGUGAGUGAUGAAGGUCUUCGGAUCGUAAAACUCUGUUAUUAGGGAAGAACAUAUGUGUAAGUAACUGUGCACAUCUUGACGGUACCUAAUCAGAAAGCCACGGCUAUCUACGUG